Aegilops tauschii subsp. strangulata is the source of this 2053-nucleotide long non-coding RNA. RefSeq lists it as uncharacterized. NCBI's taxonomy places the organism in Eukaryota, Viridiplantae, Streptophyta, Magnoliopsida, Poales, Poaceae. The record is from RefSeq and is a predicted model, not a curated record.
CCCUCGCAUCCCCGAACAGUCAAUCCCUCCACUCCCCUCGAGCCCCGCUCCCCUCCUCCCCUGCCCUCAUCUGUGCCGCCUCCUCCUCCCUUGCGUCCGCCUACUCCCCCCUGCAUCGCCGCCUCCUCCCCUUCUCCCCUGCUCACCACUAAGCCGCCUCCUCUGCCCCUUCACUUUUCUCUCCUGCGGCGGCGACGACCUGCAGGCAAAAGGCGACGCUGACGGUGCUCGAUUCGAUCUCCAGGAGAGAGAGAAGAUAAGAGGGAGAGAGAGAGAAGGAAGGAGAGGAGGGAGAACUCCGUUGCCGCCGCGUGCCGUGCUUCUGGAUCGACCGCUGCCUGACCAAGGGAUAAGAGUAUGAGGUAAAAACUAAAAACCCUAGCCACCAUGUUCCUGUGUGGGCUGCAUCCCCACAUCUCCUGUUUCAUUAUUUCACCAUCGCUGCCUCUUCUCCUCUUCGUUGCUCUGCUUCUUUCCCUGAUUCCUCUUUUUCAUUUUUUUCUCUUUGUGGCACCGCCGGGGAUGAGAGGAGCAGCUGCUGAAGCAGGCGCGGCGCUGGUGCACUGCUGGUGAAGCGGUCGUCAACGGUGUCGUCGACGUCGUCCUUGGCAGAAGGUUGGUGCUUCCUCUCCUUCUCACUACAGCUACCUAUGCCUCUAUUAUUCUAGGAUUUUGCAAGUUAAAUACUCAUGUGUGCUGAACUGAAAAGUUCUCUAUGCAACAUCUAUUGCAGCUUCAUCGGCGUCAGCUUCAUCACCAAGAGGACGGACUCCGAAAGGCAACCUCCUCCCAAGGCGCCAGGACCGGUAACUCCCGGAACGUCCAUCCUUCCUUCCAUUAUUUUCUGGUGAUGCGCCGUUAGGUUGCUGACCAUAUGAUUGGUAGCAUUGGACAGAAGAGGGCCAGCAACAAACAGAAGCAACGACUAUCCUCUCCAGAACAUGCAGGGAUCAGCUUUGGUGGCAUCCGAUGCUCGCAAGCCAUGGCGUUAGAGCAGAGGAAGCUGACAUGGUGUUGAAAUUCAGAUGGUCAUUAUGAUCGACCAGAUGCUGCGCCUCAUGUCACCCCGAGCCUCCAGGGCUUGUUAGCGGUGCUCAUAAAAUUGACAAUUUCUGCCGACCCUUGUUGCACUCAAUGAUGGUUGAUGCCAACGUGGUCCAUUAGCAUCCUGGUUGUGGUUCUUAGUCCUGGUUUGAAGAGCUGCUCUGUUUGUUGGUGCUGGCAACAUCUAUGCGGUCAAGCUCAGGCCUCCAAAGAACAUCUCUGCAAACUCAAGAUUUUUUGUCAUUGUUCAAUUCCAGACCGAGGCACAUGCUUCGUUGGUGUUGAAUGCGGCCUAAGGGAAUGCACUUACGAGUGCAAGUACUUAUCUGAAGAUUCAAUAUGCAGAGCGUGACAUUGUUCCGAGACCAGGAACGAUGAUGUUUAAUCUACAGGGUGCAACACUGCAUUUUGGCUGCCUUAUGAGGGAAAGAGUUCUAUCUAUUCUGUGGAGCGGAAGGGAUGUUUCUGUUGAGUUUGGAUUUGCCAAGGCGGAGGCCACCGCCACUCUCGACGCCCUCUGUUGCGCGCUCUCGCCGGCGGCGUUCGCAAAGCCUUGUCGCGGCGCUGCAAGUGUUGCCCCCCUCCUCCCCAAGGGCAAGGUGAAGGAAGGUGCCUGUGUGGUUCUUCUGCAGCUCGCAGCGAGGAUUGCUAUGUCCAACCUGCACAAGAAUGCCAAGAAGUCCUUCUCGGAGAUGUAAACCACGGCGCAUGUUUUUGCCAUGAUUUCCUUCGGUUGGAUUUCAUGGAUUUAGGUGUUGAAAAAUUAUGGGCUCUGGAUGCAGGAUUAAGGACAUGUACCUGCACUACAACGAGAGAUCUGGGCUAUAUCUUUGUGGCUUCCAAACUUGAAAUGUUUGCCUGGAAGUUAGUUUAGUUUUCUGUUGUGGAUUCACAGCUUCUCACAUGUACUAUCGUCUUAGACCUUUAGAUUUCCAAAGAAACUAAAUGAAGAUAUGGUGGUAUGGUCUCAAUCAGACAACUUAAAGCCUUCCAUACUUUAUAUUUUCUA